UUUUUCUUGAUGUCCUCUUUCAGUGCUUUAGCAGAGGGAAUUCGAAUACCAAAGAAGCCAAUAUAGAGUAUAGAUGAAGCUUGUACAAUUGCGUGCGUCAGCGCCUUCAAUUCCUUGGCACUCAUGCUAUUGUGCCUCACCAUAUUUUGAUUAUAUUGCACAACACUAGAUACCUCCAUGGCAUUUCUCUCUUUCCUAGUAGCUACAACACCAUUGGCCACAUCAUCGGGUAGGGGUGCAUGGUGACCAACGGCCAUAGAUGUGCAGAGGACAGUCCGAUGAGACGCACGGGUGCUGCCAGGAAGGGAGCCACAGCAUCUGCUGCCGUGGAGGUCGGUCGCGCCAGGCGGUAGCGCAAAGGGUCACCGGUGACGCGGGGGAGGCGGCGGGGAUCGGGAUGUUUCGGCAGAGGCGCAUGGUGGUAAGGCAGCAGCGGAAUGACGUGGAAGGAUGCUUGCGCGCGGGAUCCAUGGCGCCCAUGAGCUGCGAAUGGAUGUGUGCGUGCGGUAUCCACGAUGGCCGGAUCCGCCUGCUGCUGGUUGGUGCGCCGCAUCACUUGUCGCCCUGCAGUGCACAGAGAAAGUUUCAGACAUGCGCAUUAGUGUUUGAAGUGCCAGAAAUUCAGAACAAAUCUUCAAGUUCACUUCAACAACUGAACACUUGAACAUCAAACAAGACAAAUGCGUGCGUGGUGGAGUCAGCCGCCUUGGUACAGCCGGUCCAACCACUGAUCCGUUCGAAGUUCACACCGGGCCUAACCUGCAAUAGAACACAAAGAAAAUCAGAGUUGCAUGAACUUGGACGAGAGAGGAGCACAUGGAGUUGUAGCUCUCGUCGGCGCGGCGGGGCGUCGAAACCAGUGGAGUGGACUGGACGAGGAGCGCCCUAGGAGGUGGGAGGUGGCGUCCACCGGCAAGGUUUGCUGGGAGAUGGGGGAUCCCAGUCAAGUGCAGCUGAGCCAGGGGACGCGGUCGCCGGCUGCGAUGGAUGGUGGAGGUCAGGCGGUGGGAGAGUGGUGGGGUUGGAGGGCGGCGGCGGGGGGCGAUCUAAGGCGCACCUGGGGGACGGCGGCGAGAGGUGCAUCGGAGCUGGGAGGGCCGUCGGCGGUGGCGUCCGAGGAUGCAGAGCUGCGGCGAGAAGCGCGUCGGGGCGGGAG
Molecule: long non-coding RNA, 1156 nt
Filed under: Triticum aestivum (bread wheat)
Lineage: Eukaryota; Viridiplantae; Streptophyta; Magnoliopsida; Poales; Poaceae
Description: long non-coding RNA (TAES_LNC001501)
Source: RNAcentral